This 2120-nucleotide long non-coding RNA is filed under the name Macaca fascicularis (crab-eating macaque). RNAcentral's name for it is "lncRNA (ENSMFAG00000056667.1)". The record is from RNAcentral. Lineage: Eukaryota; Metazoa; Chordata; Mammalia; Primates; Cercopithecidae.
UUUUUUUUUUUUUUUUUGGGUGUCUCAGUUUUGCCCACACUGGAGUGCAGCAGUGCAAUAGUGGCUCAUUGCAGCCUCCAACUCCUGGGCUCAAUCUAUCCUUCCACCUCAUGCUCCCCCAUAGCUGGGACUACAGGUGCAUGCCACUGUGCCCAGCUAAUGAUUCUUUUGGUAAAGAUUGGGUCGUACUACAUUGCUCAUGCUAGUCUUGAACUCGUGGCCUCAAGCGAUCUUCCCGCCUCAACCUCUUGAGUUAUUGGGAUUACAGGAAUGCGCUACCAUGCCCAGCUCUGUGGAAAAUUCUCUGUGGCAUUCUGUCUCCUGAAAGUGCUGAAGGGACGAAAAGGACUCAGUGUCCUUCUUCUCUUCCCUGGCACUUUCAGACCAUUUUCCUGUUGCCUUCAUUCUAACAAAGGUUGCAGAUUGGAAAGCUGAUUUGGAAUGUUUUUUAAGUGUUUUCAGUUUCAAUAUUUGUAUGAAAUUCCUAUGGUCUCCAACACACUCAUUUAUUUUUAUUAUUAUUUUUUUUACACCUGACUUGAUUCACUUGCUUACCUUGAAUCCCUUAUUAAGGUCUCUGGAGACAUGCAAUGGUGACCAUUUCUGCAAUUUCUACACUCUGUGCACUUACCUCCCUUUCCACAUGACUCGUUUCAUUUUUCUUGUGCUAUUUGUUGGUCUUAACAUUUUAAAAGAGGAGGUGUGAAGAGAUUAGAUGCAGGUGGCUGCCAUUAAUCUUCAGUCCCAAAAACUGUACAUGUUGAUGUACCAGAGUUUUAGGUUUUUCAUAUAAUAAAAUAUAUGAUCUUUUAUAGUUUUUCCAAUUUAAGUUUUGAAAGUUAGGUUACAAAUAUAUCUCUUUUUGCUUUUUCUUUAUUGUGAGGUGUAUUUUUAAAGAUCAAAGUAAUACUUGCUUGCAGUUAAAAAUUCAAAUGGGGCCAGGUACAGUGGCUCACGCCUGUAAUCCCAGCACUUUGAGAGGCUGAGAUGGGCAGAUUGCUUGAGCCCAGGAGUUCGAGGCCAACCUGGGCAACAUGGUAAAACCCUGUCUCUACAGAAAAUACAAAAAUUAGCCGAGUGCAGUGGUGAUCACCUGCAGUCCCAACUGUUCGUGAGUCUGAGGUGGGAGGAUUGCUGGAGCCCAGGAGGUCAAGGCUGCAGUAAGCCGUGAUCAUGCCAUUACACUUCAGCCUGGGCAACAGAGUAAGACCCUGUCUUUAAAAAAAAAAAAUUCUAAUGGGGCUAGAAUGCUUAUAAUAAAAACUAGCAGCUCACUUUCCCACUAUACCCAACUCCUGAUUCCAUUCCACAAUAACCACUUUUCUACUGUUGACUUUUCUAAUUUUCUCUUAUUUACCUAUAUAUUUCUAGUUGUGCAACCAUCACCACUGUCUAGUUCCAUCCAAAACAUUGCCAUCCCCCCCAAAAAUCUUGUACCUAUUAAGCAGUCAUUCCCCACUCACCCCACCCCCCCAGGCCCUGGCCACCAUUGAUUCUGCUUUCUGUCUCUAUGGACUUGCCUAUUCUGGAUAUUUCAUGUAAACAGAAAUCUCUUACUAAUUUCCAAACAGUUGGAUGAUCUGUGUCACAUGCCUAUCAUUAAUAUUUUCCAGUUACUUGGUGUCAGUUUCAGUCUUUGUUUUGCUUGCCUUUUUUUCCUGGCAUUGACUCCCCAAGGGCCUUUUGUCCCCCUGCUCCCAUGCGGCCGCUCUCUAGGGCAGCUGCACAGGUGUCAUCCUUGGACUCCACUUUGCUGCUCUUCUAUGUUACAGUCUCUUGUUCACUGGAUCCUGUUUUUCUCUUUAUUGCUUUAUGCUCUUCUUUUGCUGGAGCCUAUCCUGCAGAAGCUUCCUGCCAAUGAUUGUUUUGGAGGAAAUUAAAAGAAAACCAAACCAAAUCUCUCCUAUCCAAGGGGAAGAACUUUAUCCCCAUAUUAAUUGAAUAUAGGAUUCGAGAUUUAAAAUGUUGGUGGCAGUUAGAGUUUGCUCUUUUUUUUUCUAUUGGAAAGGUCCACAAAUGUUUUGUUGACAUUUUUGUCUUUAAUCCAUUUGAAUUUGGGGUACAUGUUAUGAUUUGUCUACAUUAAUUUCCCUUUUAAAAAUAAAAAUAAUUCCUCAAGC